UCUAUUCCUCGAGAACUUUGUCAGCCUGAGGAUGACUUGACAGAGGAAACUUUCAAUGAGGAUGAUGGAGAGUCAUUGGAUUUGAGUUGCAUGGGAGCUCGGAGUCACCCAUUCUCGCUACCAUGGUUUUUUGGAUGAAGAGCAGAGAGGAAGCAGCUGUACAGAGUGGAUUGUAGACCAGCAAGCUUUGAUUCCAGACUCUACCUCUACAGGCAUCAUCACGUGACCACCUCAGUGGGGAGCACCCAAGGCUGGGACUGGAAGUCUUCUGUUGAAUGGAGAGAGGGACAUAGGUCAUCUGGGAUAAAUUAUCUCCUUGAUGAGCAUGUCUCCAGUGAGCUCCAGGUUCAUGAGCAGCUCCUGCCUUCAGAGAAUCAGAUGGAGAAGCGACGGAAGAGGACAUCUAGAUGUCAACCUGUGGCUUCCACGCAUGGAUUUUCAAAGACCAUACGAGUCAGAGGCUGGAGGGGGGAGUGAGGCAUCCGCUGUGGACCUGCAGGAUGCAGCACGCACGAACUCAACAGCUUGUUGCGCGCCCAGCUCCUGCAUACAAUGGAGGAGCGUCCCAGCGUGUGCCUGGAGGGGAGCCCCACACCCAGCUGAGGAGCAUGGAGAGUUGGCGGCUUCCGAAGGAGAGAGAUCCGGAUUUCUGCACAGCUGCGGUAGUGGUAGGUGGGCCAUGCCGCACACGGGCGGCAGAAACCGGACUCGGGGAUCUAUUUUGCUGCUCUCUGAAUGAACGUAAACACCUUAUUUUAUGAACACAACUUGCCUUUUCCACUAGAGAAACGUUUGUCCAAUGUAACCAGUGAAGUACUGUGUCACAGCUUGAGCAAGUGUGCGGGGCGGGGCGUGAUGUGAGGCUGGAAGUGAGCACCUGGGUACAGGACAGAAAGAGUUCGAAGAAAAACGUGUGAACAGUACCAACACCUUUAUAUGCACGUAUGGACUUCUCAAAGAAGCAAUAAAUACUGUAUUAAAACUGUAUAGGGUUUUCUUCAAAUUAGAUAUUCAAGGAAACUCCUUUUAUUUUAAACAAUAAUUCAAUAUUAGACCA
Meriones unguiculatus (Mongolian gerbil) is the source of this 1057-nucleotide long non-coding RNA. RefSeq lists it as uncharacterized. The transcript has 3 exons. Lineage: Eukaryota; Metazoa; Chordata; Mammalia; Rodentia; Muridae. The record is from RefSeq and is a predicted model, not a curated record.